RNAcentral lists this ribosomal RNA (601 nucleotides) under uncultured soil bacterium. RNAcentral describes it as "bacterial SSU rRNA". It matches the Rfam family "Bacterial small subunit ribosomal RNA", at positions 55 to 700 of the family's 1533-position model. The record is from RNAcentral.
AUGCAAGUCGAACGGGCGUAGCAAUACGUCAGUGGCGGACGGGUGAGUAACACGUGGGAAUAUGCCUUUCGGUUCGGAACAACUCGGGGAAACUCGUGCUUAUUCCGGAUACGCCCUUACGGGGAAAGAUUUAUCGCCGAAAGAUUAGCCCGCGUCCGAUUAGCUAGUUGGUGAGGUAAAGGCUCACCAAGGCACCGAUCGGUAGCUGGUUUGAGAGAACGACCAGCCACACUGGGACUGAGACACGGCCCAGACUCCUACGGGAGGCAGCAGUGGGGAAUCUUGGACAAUGGGCGCAAGCCUGAUCCAGCCAUGCCGCGUGAGUGAUGAAGGCCUUCGGGUUGUAAAACUCUUUUGGCGGGGACGAUAAUGACGGUACCCGCAGAAUAAGCUCCGGCUAACUUCGUGCCAGCAGCCGCGGUAAUACGAAGGGGGCUAGCGUUGUUCGGAAUUACUGGGCGUAAAGCGUGCGCAGGCGGCUUCUCAAGUCAGGGGUGAAAGCCCAGAGCUCAACUCCGGAACUGCCUUUGAGACUGAGAGGCUUGAGUACGGGAGAGGUGAGUGGAAUUCCCAGUGUAGAGGUGAAAUUCGUAGAUAUUGG